UGGGGGAUAUUGCACAAUGGGCGAAAGCCUGAUGCAGCGACGCCGCGUGGGGGAUGAAGGCUUUCGGGUUGUAAACCUCUUUCGCUAUCGAACAAUGCCCGCUUAGGGUGGGUUGAGGGUAGGUGGAGAAGAAGCGCCGGCUAACUACGUGCCAGCAGCCGCGGUAAUACGUAGGGCGCGAGCGUUGUCCGGAAUUAUUGGGCGUAAAGUGCUUGUAGGCGGCUUGUUGCGCCUGCUGUGAAAACGCGGGGCUUAACUUCGAGCGUGCAGUGGGUACGGGAAGGCUUGAGUGUGGUAGGGGUGACUGGAAUUCCAGGUGUAGCGGUGGAAUGCGCAGAUAUCUGGAGGAACACCGAUGGCGAAGGCAGGUCACUGGGCCAUUACUGACGCUGAGGAGCGAAAGCAUGGGUAGCGAACAGG
Molecule: ribosomal RNA, 420 nt
Filed under: bacterium
Lineage: Bacteria
Description: partial 16S ribosomal RNA
Rfam family: Bacterial small subunit ribosomal RNA
Source: RNAcentral